Molecule: ribosomal RNA, 551 nt
Filed under: Conus aristophanes
Lineage: Eukaryota; Metazoa; Mollusca; Gastropoda; Neogastropoda; Conidae
Description: partial 12S ribosomal RNA
Source: RNAcentral
AACCAAGAAAUUUAGUCAUUCUUUUACGGUAAAAAGACAGUUAAGCAAGGAAAAGAAAGAUCAUUAGACCUUUAAUACAGGAGUAAAAUCUAAAUAUUAAAAGUUAUACCUGAUGUGGUUUAUUUAAUAUGCUGAAGCUGUGAUAGCUUUAAGGGAAACUGGGAUUGGAUACCCCAUUAUUUUUAGUCGUAAAUUUAGUUUAAGCUUACCAGAGUACUACGAAUAAAAAGUUUAAAACUCAAAGGGCUUGGCGGUGUUUUAGACCUCUCAGGGGAACCUGUCUCAUAAUCGACAAUCCACGUUAAACCUAACUCUUUAUGGCAAGUCAGCCUGUAUACCGUCGUCGUCAGGUAACUUCUUAAAAUAUAGUAGUUAGCCAGAGAAUUUUAUUAAUUAAAACGUCAGAUCAAGGUGCAGCUAAUAAAAGAGUGAGGAUGGGUUACAAUUACAGAUUUGUAAUUACGGAAAACACUUGAAAUGAAGUGGCUUAAAGGAGGACUUGAAAGUAAUUUUGAUUAUAUAAGCAAAAUGAAUAAGGCUCUGAAACGUGC